This 228-nucleotide long non-coding RNA is filed under the name Homo sapiens (human). Its description in RNAcentral is "non-protein coding lnc-GPR180-9:1". Lineage: Eukaryota; Metazoa; Chordata; Mammalia; Primates; Hominidae. The record is from RNAcentral.
CCACCUAUAACCAUAUUAAUGACAUAUCUAUGUUAACAAAACCAUUGUGUGAGGUUAGAGGCAGAAGGGGUGCAUGGUCAAAGCCACAGUUAAAAGAGCAACAGAAGGAGAAAAUAUAGUCCUGGAAGACUAGAAUUAAGUCAUUCAGAAAAAACUAAUACAAUGUUUUUAUUUAUUUAUUUAUUUUUUAGACAGAGUCUUGCUCUCUUGCCCAGGCUGGAGUGUAGU